Trichosurus vulpecula (common brushtail) is the source of this 110-nucleotide small nuclear RNA. The record is from RefSeq and is a predicted model, not a curated record. Lineage: Eukaryota; Metazoa; Chordata; Mammalia; Diprotodontia; Phalangeridae.
GUGCUCACUUUGGCAGCACGUAUACUAAAAUUGGAACAAUACAGAGAAGAUUAUUAGCAUGGCCCCUGUGCAAGGGUGACACGCAAAUUCGUGAAGUGUUCCAUAUUAAA